CAUCUCUCUCUGUUAGGGGGUUGGUAUUAUCAUCAUCUCUCUCUCUUUUAGGGGGUUGGUAUUAUCAUCAUCUCUCUCUGUUAGGGGGUUGGUAUUAUCAUAAUCUCUCUCUCUGUUAGGGGGUUGGUAUUAUCAUCAUCUCUCUCUCUGUUAGGGGGUUGGUAUUAUCAUCAUCAUCUCUCUCUGUUAGGGGGUUGGUAUUAUCAUCAUCUCUCUCUCUGUUAGGGGGUUGGUAUUAUCAUCAUCUCUCUCUGUUAGGGGGUUGGUAUUAUCAUCAUCUCUCUCUGUUAAGGGGUUGGUAUUAUCAUCAUCAUCUCUCUCUCUGUUAGGGGGUUGGCAUUAUCAUCAUCUCUCUCUGUUAGGGGGUUGGUAUUAUCAUCAUCUCUCUCUCUGUUAGGGGGUUGGUAUUAUCAUCAUCUCUCGCUCUGUUAGGAGGUUGGUAUUAUCAUCAUCUCUCUCUGUUAGGGGGUUGGUAUUAUCAUCAUCUCUCUCUUUUAGGGGGUUGGUAUUAUCAUCAUCUCUCUCUGUUAGGUGGUUGGUAUUAUCAUCAUCUCUCUCUGUUAGGGGGUUGGUAUUAUCAUCAUCUCUCUCUCUGUUAGGGGGUUGGUAUUAUCAUCAUCAUCUCUCUCUGUUAGGGGGUUGGUAUUAUCAUCAUCUCUCUCUCUGUUAGGGGGUUGGUAUUAUCAUCAUCUCUCUCUCUGUUAGGGGGUUGGUAUUAUCAUCAUCUCUCGCUCUGUUAGGAGGUUGGUAUUAUCAUCAUCUCUCUCUGUUAGGGGGUUGGUAUUAUCAUCAUCUCUCUCUUUUAGGGGGUUGGUAUUAUCAUCAUCUCUCUCUGUUAGGGGGUUGGCAUUAUCAUCAUCUCUCUCUGUUAGGGGGUUGGUAUUAUCAUCAUCUCUCUCUCUGUUAGGGGGUUGGUAUUAUCAUCAUCUCUCGCUCUGUUAGGAGGUUGGUAUUAUCAUCAUCUCUCUCUGUUAGGGGGUUGGUAUUAUCAUCAUCUCUCUCUUUUAGGGGGUUGGUAUUAUCAUCAUCUCUCUCUGUUAGGUGGUUGGUAUUAUCAUCAUCUCUCUCUGUUAGGGGGUUGGUAUUAUCAUCAUCUCUCUCUCUGUUAGGGGGUUGGUAUUAUCAUCAUCAUCUCUCUCUGUUAGGGGGUUGGUAUUAUCAUCAUCUCUCUCUCUGUUAGGUGGUUGGUAUUAUCAUCUCUCUCUGUUAGGGGGUUGAGACCAGUGUGUGUACACGGAUGGGCAGUAUUUGAAUUCUUCUUUGUUUAUAAUACUUUGUAUUCCACUACGCUGAACUACACUCCAAUUUAUUUUGGUACAAGAUACUUUAGAGAGCUUUAAUUAUUUAUUUUUUUAAACAUAAUACUUUUCUAUAUCAUUUUUUUGAAGGCCAACAAAAAUACCCAGUGUGCUUUGCAGUUCAUUUUGGUGUGUUGAUUUUACAUGUUGUUAUAUUAGCAGACGCUCUUAUCCAGAGAGACUUCCUGUCGGUGUAUUCAACCGAGGUAGAUAAACAACACGUCACCGUCACAGGAAGUUAAAUGGUAACGUGUCCGUUAAUGACGAUGUUGUUGCAGUUCGGCAGAUGUAUUUCUGGAUUCCUGCAAUUUUUAAAAUACAAUAUACAAGUUAUUUUCAUACAUUGAUCUUAAUGGUAUUUUUUUGUUGUAUUUUGUAACGGUAUUCUGUAAUUUUAUAUUGUAACGGUAUUUUGUAACUGUAUUUUGUAACUGAUUUUGUAACUGUAUUUUGUAACUGACCAUAGAAAGCUUUUAUUUUCUAUGGUAGGUCAGGGCGUGACGGGGUUUUGUCUAGUUUAUUUAUAUGUUGGUUCUAGUUUCUUUUUUCUAUGUUUGGGUUUUGUCUAGUUUCUGUUUUUCUAUGUGGGGUUCUAGUUUCUGUAUUUCUAUGUUGGUUUUGUUUGGGAUGAUCUCCAAUUAGAGGCAGCUGGUCGUCGUUGUCUCUAAUUGGGGAUCGUAUUUACGUGGUUGUUUUUCCCACCUGGGUUUGUGGGAGAUUGUUUUUGAGUAAGUGUAUGUUGCAC
Molecule: long non-coding RNA, 2043 nt
Filed under: Salmo salar (Atlantic salmon)
Lineage: Eukaryota; Metazoa; Chordata; Actinopteri; Salmoniformes; Salmonidae
Description: lncRNA (ENSSSAG00000089759.1)
Source: RNAcentral